CAAUAGCGUAUAUUAAAGCUGUUGCGGUUAAAAAGCUCGUAGUUGGAUUUCUGUCAAGGACAACUGGUCCGCCCCUCGGGUGAGCACAUAGUUUGGUCUUGGCAUCUUGUUGGAAACUGUUGCUGCACUUGGUUGUGUGGCGCAGUGUCCAGCACUUUCACUUUGAGGAAAUUGGAGUGUUUCAAGCAGGCACAUGCCUUUGGACACAGUAGCAUGGAAUAAUUAGAUUGGGCUUUUGCUCCAACUUGUCGGUUUCUGGGGCUGAGGUGAGAAUUAAUGGGGAUUGUUGGGGGCAUCCGAAUUUAGCCGUCAGAGGUGAAAUUCUUGGAUCUGCUAAAGACGGACAACUGCGAAAGCGUUUGCCCAGGAUGUUUUCAUUGA
This 381-nucleotide ribosomal RNA is filed under the name uncultured eukaryote. RNAcentral describes it as "partial 18S ribosomal RNA". It matches the Rfam family "Eukaryotic small subunit ribosomal RNA", at positions 592 to 976 of the family's 1831-position model. The record is from RNAcentral.